CAGUAGCCACGGUAAUACGUAGGGUGCAAGCGUUAAUCGGAAUUACUGGGCGUAAAGCGUGCGCAGGCGGUUAUAUAAGUCAGAUGUGAAAUCCCCGGGCUCAACCUGGGAACUGCAUUUGAGACUGUAUGGCUAGAGUGUGUCAGAGGGGGGUAGAAUUCCACGUGUAGCAGUGGAAUGCGUAGAUAUGUGGAGGAAUACCGAUGGCGAAGGCAGCCCCCUGGGAUAACACUGACGCUCAUGCACGAAAGCGUGGGGAGCAGACAGGAUUAGAUACCCCCGUAGUCCCUGUCUCUUAUAC
This 301-nucleotide ribosomal RNA is filed under the name uncultured bacterium. RNAcentral describes it as "partial 16S ribosomal RNA". It matches the Rfam family "Bacterial small subunit ribosomal RNA", at positions 509 to 807 of the family's 1533-position model. The record is from RNAcentral.